RNAcentral lists this transfer RNA (77 nucleotides) under Clostridia bacterium. RNAcentral's name for it is "tRNA-Arg". It matches the Rfam family "tRNA". Rfam says of the family: Transfer RNA (tRNA) molecules are approximately 80 nucleotides in length. Their secondary structure includes four short double-helical elements and three loops (D, anti-codon, and T loops). Further hydrogen bonds mediate the characteristic L-shaped molecular structure. tRNAs have two regions of fundamental functional importance: the anti-codon, which is responsible for specific mRNA codon recognition, and the 3' end, to which the tRNAs corresponding amino acid is attached (by aminoacyl-tRNA synthetases). tRNAs cope with the degeneracy of the genetic code in two manners: having more than one tRNA (with a specific anti-codon) for a particular amino acid; and 'wobble' base-pairing, i.e. permitting non-standard base-pairing at the 3rd anti-codon position. The record is from RNAcentral. Lineage: Bacteria; Bacillati; Bacillota; Clostridia.
ACGCCUGUAGCUCAGUUGGAUAGAGCACGAGCCUCCGACGCUCGGUGCCGAUGGUUCGAAUCCAUUCAGGCGUACCA